AAGUAAGAGUGUGAGCAGGAGCGGUUAGAAACCGGAGCAUAAGCGGGCCUGAGCGUGAUGGCCGGGCUUUGGCCAUUGCGGUCAGGGUCCUUAUGUGCAGGUUUCUGCGACUGCGAACGCGUUUCGAUGACAAGUACGUUAAGUUCAAGGCAGCAAUUAAACAAUGAUAGCCAGUUUUGAGAGCGCAAAGUUCUCAUAAGUGUGGUGGCGAU
RNAcentral lists this unclassified non-coding RNA (212 nucleotides) under Lacticaseibacillus casei. RNAcentral describes it as "Lactobacillus casei 23S-5S intergenic spacer". Lineage: Bacteria; Bacillati; Bacillota; Bacilli; Lactobacillales; Lactobacillaceae. The record is from RNAcentral.